This 67-nucleotide transfer RNA is filed under the name Typhlatya miravetensis. RNAcentral describes it as "tRNA-Leu". The record is from RNAcentral. Lineage: Eukaryota; Metazoa; Arthropoda; Malacostraca; Decapoda; Atyidae.
AUCACCUUGACAGAUGGAUGUGUUAGAUUUAGGAUUUAAUUAUGCAAUUUUAGAUUUGCAGGUGAUA